UCCUACGGGGGCAGCAGUGAGGAAUAUUGGUCAAUGGGCGCGAGCCUGAACCAGCCAAGUCGCGUGAGGGAAGACGGUCCUAUGGAUUGUAAACCUCUUUUGUCGGGGAGCAAAAGACGCCACGUGUGGCGUUCCGAGAGUACCCGAAGAAAAAGCAUCGGCUAACUCCGUGCCAGCAGCCGCGGUAAUACGGAGGAUGCGAGCGUUAUCCGGAUUUAUUGGGUUUAAAGGGUGCGCAGGCGGGCUGUUAAGCCGGCGGCUCAAAUUCAGGGCGCAAUCCUGCC
RNAcentral lists this ribosomal RNA (284 nucleotides) under uncultured bacterium. RNAcentral describes it as "partial 16S ribosomal RNA". It matches the Rfam family "Bacterial small subunit ribosomal RNA", at positions 337 to 619 of the family's 1533-position model. The record is from RNAcentral.